Molecule: long non-coding RNA, 241 nt
Filed under: Ananas comosus (pineapple)
Lineage: Eukaryota; Viridiplantae; Streptophyta; Magnoliopsida; Poales; Bromeliaceae
Description: long non-coding RNA (ACOM_LNC005634)
Source: RNAcentral
UAUGAAUUUAGAUUGCAAUUAAAUUAGUUUUGCGGACGAAACUAAUUUUAAGUGGUGGAGAAUGUAACAUAUUGAAACCUCGAGAACGAUUAUCGAACUUUAGCCAAAUUAACUAAAGUAUACGAAAGAGAUGGAUGGACAAGUUGCAUUUAGUUGGAAAGGUUAAAAAUGAGUUUAAGAGAGGUUAGAAAGGUUUUAGCAUCGACCGGCGCGAAGUAGAGUCGAAUUGGAGCUAAAACUG